This 950-nucleotide long non-coding RNA is filed under the name Fukomys damarensis (Damara mole-rat). Its description in RNAcentral is "lncRNA (ENSFDAG00000022216.1)". Lineage: Eukaryota; Metazoa; Chordata; Mammalia; Rodentia; Bathyergidae. The record is from RNAcentral.
CUCCAGCAAACCUGCUCUUCAAUUCUGCUUGAUCCGUGCAAACACUCCUCUUUGAUCCUAGUAAGACUUCGCUACAGAUAAGCUUUCAAUGUGAGAGGAAAAGAAUGUCAAUAAGACGAUAAUAUAUCUCAGGUGGUUGCCUGUGGCAGGUAUGAUCUCUUCAGUAGUGCAGGAGAGCUUUUUUCAUUGUCAAGGCCCUUUGCUAGAUCAUGUAGCGAUAAUAAAAUCAACAUAUCAAUACUAGUUCUUUUUUUUUUUUUUUUUUUUNNNNNNNNNNNNNNNNNUUUUUUUUUUUUUUUUUUGGCACCAGAGAUCGAACUCAGGACCUUGCGCUUGCAUGGCAGACGGCCGUAUCACUGAGCUAAGACCCCAGCCUGAUACUAGUUCUUGAAGUGGACCUUCUGUGCUGCCUCCAGCUCAAGCCAGGCCUGUACCUCUUCUGCUUACCUCCAUGGGCAAUUCCAUCUAGGCUCCUUCCAUUCCGUGGGUUUCCUGGGGAAGAGUAGACCCCAAUUUCUACUUUUUCAUCUUGUCUGACCCAAUGUCCUGGAGACAUUUUCUUCCCAAAACUGCUGGAUGUUCCAUUGUGGUAACAAGGUAUCCAGCUCCCAGCUGGAAAAUAGGGCAAAUUGGGAUUGAAAGGAAACAUUCCAAAUGAAGAAAUCUAAUGAAGCAAGCACUAAGAUGUAGACAUGCAGAGACAGGGUGACUACCCCUGCAGGACCUUACUCGAUUACUCCAUACUGACCGAAGGUCCCAUGAAAAAAACGUGUUUUGAUCACAUACGUCUCCCCAGUCCCAGGCCAGCUUCUCUGCUUCCCUCCCGAAGGAAACUUUCUAAGAGCUGAAGAGGUUUACAGGCCCGUCGAGGUCACUGCUCCUCCCGUCCACUCACACUUCCCACUCCGCGUGCCAGGAGUGUUCCCACUCCGCGCCACCCUCCUGCGGCC